UACGUAGGGUGCGAGCGUUAAUCGGAAUUACUGGGCGUAAAGCGUGCGCAGGCGGUUUUGUAAGCCGGAUGUGAAAUCCCCGGGCUUAACCUGGGAAUGGCAUUCGGGACUGCAAGGCUGGAGUGCGGCAGAGGAGACUGGAAUUCCUGGUGUAGCAGUGAAAUGCGUAGAUAUCAGGAGGAACACCGAUGGCGAAGGCAGGUCUCUGGGCAUUAACUGACGCUGAGGAGCGAAAGCAUGGGGAGCGAACAGG
This 253-nucleotide ribosomal RNA is filed under the name uncultured bacterium. RNAcentral describes it as "partial 16S ribosomal RNA". It matches the Rfam family "Bacterial small subunit ribosomal RNA", at positions 524 to 776 of the family's 1533-position model. The record is from RNAcentral.